UACGUAGGGGGCAAGCGUUAUCCGGAUUUACUGGGUGUAAAGGGAGCGUAGGCGGCUUAGUAAGUCAGAAGUGAAAGCCCGCAGCUCAACUGCGGGACUGCUUUUGAAACUGUGUGACUGGAGUGCAGGAGAGGUAAGCGGAAUUCCUGGUGUAGCGGUGAAAUGCGUAGAUAUCACGCAGAACCCCGAUUGCGAAGGCAGCAUACCGGUGCACAACUGACGCUCAGGCACGAAAGCGUGGGUAUCGAACAGG
RNAcentral lists this ribosomal RNA (253 nucleotides) under uncultured bacterium. RNAcentral's name for it is "partial 16S ribosomal RNA". It matches the Rfam family "Bacterial small subunit ribosomal RNA", at positions 524 to 776 of the family's 1533-position model. The record is from RNAcentral.